RNA transcript from Microplitis demolitor, 1182 nucleotides. RefSeq lists it as uncharacterized. The record is from RefSeq and is a predicted model, not a curated record. NCBI's taxonomy places the organism in Eukaryota, Metazoa, Arthropoda, Insecta, Hymenoptera, Braconidae. The transcript is spliced from 2 exons.
AAUAAAUAAAUAUAUAAAUAAGGUAAAAUACCUAGUACCCGAUUCAGAAACUAGUACUCAAUCACUCCAUAUAUUUGUAUAUUUAUAUUUAGUCAAAUUAAAUAAAUAUAGACACACAAAUACAUGAGUGAUCGGACACUAGUUUCCUUAUCGAGUACUAGUUCUCUGAUCCGAGUACAAGUUCCCUGAUCAGGUACUAAUUUCUCAAUCGAGUAUUAAUUCCCUGGUAGGGUACAAACUCUCUGAUUGGCUACUAGUUUUCUGAUCGGGUGUGGAUUCCCUAAUCGGGUACUAAUUCUCUAAUCGAGUAUUAGUUCCCUGAUCAGGUGCUAGUUCUCUAGUCGAGUACUAGUUCCCUGAUCAAAUACUGGAUCUCUUACCUUACAAUUAUUUUUAAAAAUUUUUCAAUAUUAUAUACACUAAGUGGAAGUGUGAGUACAUCAGCGAACUCAUUGUUAUAAGGAAAUUGAAUUAGUGGUUACUGACAAUUUUCCCUUAGUCUAGUGUGGUUUUAACAUAUAGCAUACUCUACUCUACUGCUCACAGUCUACAUAGUCACGAUUCUCUAUAUAAUAGAAUAACAUACAUCUAUCGUACACAUGUGACGGUAUUAAUUUAUCAGGGCGCUCUAAUUACUUGUCGUCUAUAUCAAUUAUUAAAUAAACUACCGUGCUGUAGGUCAACUAAAACCUGUUUUCCAUCGUCUCUUUAAAUAAACAAAUUUUUAAUUAACCACUCUAUACUCUGCUUAAUUUUUUUAUUACUCCAUUAAAAGUAUAGAUAGCAAGUAUCCAACAAUGAAUUUUUUAUUUAUUAUUAUUAUAUUUUUAGUAUUCAUUAGCUCUAAAACGCGCGUCGCAAUAAAUAAAAGGCGCCAGUCGUCUCGGCACAACAAUGUUUUUAACUUUUUGAUACCAGCUAAGAAUUAGGUCACUUUAUAAUGUAUCACAAGCGGAGAUUAUUGUAUUUACCCUUUUGCGUAGUCAAUAUAGUGCUCACAUAAAACGUUUUAUGUUCGCAACCCUUGUGGUUUAUUAUAUUUAACGUCAGUGGCUUUAUUUUCCCGACAAUAAAAGUUAUUCAAAGCUGUCCAUUGUUCAAAAAUUUUCUUGUAGUUUUAUGCAGCGCUUCCAUAGUUACUGCUGCUACGAGAUACCUCGCGAUACCGAUCGACGGGAUGGA